GGUUAAGUGACUAAGCGUACACGGUGGAUGCCUAGGCAGUCAGAGGCGAUGAAGGACGUGCUAAUCUGCGAAAAGCGCCGGUGAGCUGAUAUGAAGCGUUAUCAGCCGGCGAUGUCCGAAUGGGGAAACCCGGUGCAACUCGUUGCAUCAUCGUUAAGUGAAUCCAUAGCUUAACGAAGCGAACCAGGGGAACUGAAACAUCUCAGUACCCUGAGGAAAAGAAAUCAACCGAGAUUCCCCCAGUAGCGGCGAGCGAACGGGGAACAGCCCAGAGCCAUCAUCAGCUUGCGCAUCAGGAGAACGGUCUGGAAAGUCCGGCGACAGAGGGUGAUAGCCCCGUAUCCGAAGGUGCGCUUGUUGUGAGCUCGAUGAGUAGGGCGGGACACGUGAUAUCCUGUCUGAAGAUGGGGGGACCAUCCUCCAAGGCUAAAUACUCCUGACUGACCGAUAGUGAACCAGUACCGUGAGGGAAAGGCGAAAAGAACCCCGGCGAGGGGAGUGAAAUAGAACCUGAAACCGUGUACGUACAAGCAGUGGGAGCAUCCUUCGGGGUGUGACUGCGUACCUUUUGUAUAAUGGGUCAGCGACUUAUAUUCUGUAGCAAGGUUAACCGCAUAGGGGAGCCGCAGGGAAACCGAGUCUUAACUGGGCGUCUAGUUGCAGGGUAUAGACCCGAAACCCGGUGAUCUAGCCAUGGGCAGGUUGAAGGUUGGGUAACACUAACUGGAGGACCGAACCGACUAAUGUUGAAAAAUUAGCGGAUGACUUGUGGCUGGGGGUGAAAGGCCAAUCAAACCGGGAGAUAGCUGGUUCUCCCCGAAAGCUAUUUAGGUAGCGCCUCGUGACGUCAUCUACGGGGGUAGAGCACUGUUUCGGCUAGGGGUCCAUCCCGGAUUACCAACCCGAUGCAAACUGCGAAUACCGUAGAAUGUAAUCACGGGAGACACACGGCGGGUGCUAACGUCCGUCGUGAAGAGGGAAACAACCCAGACCGCCAGCUAAGGUCCCAAAGUCAUGGUUAAGUGGGAAACGAUGUGGGAAGGCCCAGACAGCCAGGAUGUUGGCUUAGAAGCAGCCAUCAUUUAAAGAAAGCGUAAUAGCUCACUGGUCGAGUCGGCCUGCGCGGAAGAUGUAACGGGGCUAAACCAUGCACCGAAGCUGCGGCAGCGGACGUAUCACUUAAAACGCUUAACGCGACGGCGAGCCGGCGCGUGCAAGCGACACUCCCGUUGAGUCGGCAACAGCCGGCCAAGGGCAAGGCGUUUUAAGGAUACGUCCGUUGGGUAGGGGAGCGUUCUGUAAGCCUGCGAAGGUGGCCUGUGAGGGCUGCUGGAGGUAUCAGAAGUGCGAAUGCUGACAUAAGUAACGAUAAAGCGGGUGAAAAGCCCGCUCGCCGGAAGACCAAGGGUUCCUGUUCAACGUUAAUCGGAGCAGGGUGAGUCGACCCCUAAGGCGAGGCCGAAAGGCGUAGUCGAUGGGAAACAGGUUAAUAUUCCUGUACUGGGUGUGACUGCGAAGGGGGGACGGAGAAAGCUAGGUUCGCCGGGCGACGGUUGUCCCGGUUCAAGCGUGAAGGUGGAAUGAGCAGGCAAAUCCGCUCAUUCUCAACACUGAGGCGUGAUGACGAGCCACUACGGUGGUGAAGGAAUUGAUGCUACGCUUCCAGGAAAAGCCUCUAAGCUCCAGGUCACAUCGAAUCGUACCCCAAACCGACACAGGUGGUCAGGUAGAGAAUACCCAGGCGCUUGAGAGAACUCGGGUGAAGGAACUAGGCAAAAUGGUGCCGUAACUUCGGGAGAAGGCACGCUGGCAUGUAGGUGGAGGGCCUUGCGCCCCGAGCUGAAGCCAGUCGCAGAUACCAGCUGGCUGCAACUGUUUAUUAAAAACACAGCACUGUGCAAACACGAAAGUGGACGUAUACGGUGUGACGCCUGCCCGGUGCCGGAAGGUUAAUUGAUGGGGUUAUCGCUUGCGAGAAGCUCUUGAUCGAAGCCCCGGUAAACGGCGGCCGUAACUAUAACGGUCCUAAGGUAGCGAAAUUCCUUGUCGGGUAAGUUCCGACCUGCACGAAUGGCGUAAUGAUGGCCAGGCUGUCUCCACCCGAGACUCAGUGAAAUUGAACUCGCCGUGAAGAUGCGGUGUACCCGCGGCAAGACGGAAAGACCCCGUGAACCUUUACUAUAGCUUGACACUGAACAUUGAGCCUUGAUGUGUAGGAUAGGUGGGAGGCUUUGAAGUGUGGACGCCAGUCUGCAUGGAGCCAACCUUGAAAUACCACCCUUUAAUGUUUGAUGUUCUCACUCAGGCCCGUUAUCCGGGCCGAGGACAGUGUCUGGUGGGUAGUUUGACUGGGGCGGUCUCCUCCCAAAGUGUAACGGAGGAGCACGAAGGUUAGCUAAUCACGGUCGGACAUCGUGAGGUUAGUGCAAAGGCAUAAGCUAGCUUGACUGCGAGAGUGACGGCUCGAGCAGGUGCGAAAGCAGGUCUUAGUGAUCCGGUGGUUCUGAAUGGAAGGGCCAUCGCUCAACGGAUAAAAGGUACUCCGGGGAUAACAGGCUGAUACCGCCCAAGAGUUCAUAUCGACGGCGGUGUUUGGCACCUCGAUGUCGGCUCAUCACAUCCUGGGGCUGAAGUAGGUCCCAAGGGUAUGGCUGUUCGCCAUUUAAAGUGGUACGCGAGCUGGGUUUAGAACGUCGUGAGACAGUUCGGUCCCUAUCUGCCGUGGGCGCUGGAAGAUUGAGAGGGGCUGCUCCUAGUACGAGAGGACCGGAGUGGACGCACCACUGGUGUUCGGGUUGUCAUGCCAAUGGCAUUGCCCGGUAGCUACGUGCGGAAGAGAUAACCGCUGAAAGCAUCUAAGCGGGAAACUUGCCUCGAGAUGAGUCUUCCCUGAGGCCUAGAGCCUCCUGAAGGGACGUUAAAGACGAUGACGUUGAUAGGUCGGGUGUGUAAGCGCUGCGAGGCGUUGAGCUAACCGAUACUAAUGACCCGUGAGACUUAACCUUACAACACC
RNAcentral lists this ribosomal RNA (3013 nucleotides) under Sodalis praecaptivus. RNAcentral's name for it is "bacterial LSU rRNA". It matches the Rfam family "Bacterial large subunit ribosomal RNA". The record is from RNAcentral. Lineage: Bacteria; Pseudomonadati; Pseudomonadota; Gammaproteobacteria; Enterobacterales; Bruguierivoracaceae.